This is a long non-coding RNA of Myxocyprinus asiaticus (Chinese sucker), 1558 nucleotides long. RefSeq lists it as uncharacterized. The transcript has 4 exons. The record is from RefSeq and is a predicted model, not a curated record. Lineage: Eukaryota; Metazoa; Chordata; Actinopteri; Cypriniformes; Catostomidae.
UGAGAAUGGAAGGCGAACCGCAGCUACCUUAUGUUACUCCUGAACCACCAGUAAAAGUAAACAACAACAAAAAAAAAAAAAAAAAAAAAGACCGUGUUAGAAACUUCUACAACGAAAAAUCGUCUGGAUCAAGAGCGUGCUAAAAGCAUAAUUAACACUGGCAUUGCUUUUCCACGCUGGAGGCAACUGUGGGAUUCAAAGGGUCUGAAAAAUGACGCCAUGGUUGCUGUUUUUCUUUUGGACAGAAUACAACUUUAUUGUAAACCACAGAAAAUGAGAUCAGCAAACAGUUCUGUGUUGUGAUUGGACAAAAUCGUCGUUGCCGGAACUGUUCAGCCAAUGAAUGCCCGAGAAUCAGUUGUUUGAAUCUGAGCGCCAGCUGCGCCGCGGGAGAGCUGUCUGUCUGAAGAAGGAAGAGACAGCCUGGCUGCACAGAAGUCCGUGUUCACGCCAAGUGUUAAUGUUUAGGAUCAACUAAAGAAAACCUCAGUUCAACCCAGUCAUCAGGACCAUAUUUCGCUGUGUUCCCACGUCUUCAGAAGAUUCCUACAAGCAACAGACGUGACUAAGAUGUGGCGGUGGCCACUGGUUUAAUGAUGGCUAACAAGAUCAUUGAGAGAAGUGUCCAAAGCCUGGAGUUAUGGAAUUUUCUUCCUUAUGGAUGCCUCCUAAGAUGACUGACAUCUUUCUCAGAGAUAAUGUUAAAACUGUUAUGUAGUGACGGGUAAGGGUGAGUGAAUUGAGACUGAAGAAAACUAAAGUGCACAGUGAUAAUGAACAGUGACAUGUCAUUCUAUGAGAUAUUUGAUGUGAGCAUUUCAUAUAGUUAAAGGUGGGGUAUGCGAUAUCAUGGUAUUGUCAUGGAAUAGAGCGAACAACGACACCGCAAGUAAUGUAACUAACGUUAGCUAGGUUGUGGGUUAGCUUAGCUAGGUUGCAGGUUAGCAAGCUGUCUCUAUAGUUGCUGCUGCGAAGCUAACAGCCAGAGAGGAUGAGACAGUUUCCCAGAGCCAGCAAACCAGCUCCAGACAGCGAUACUCACAACUCAACUGCUACUAUAGCUAACAUCACAACAACAGCAUAUCUUGGCAAGCUAGAAAGUAAGCUGAAUGUCUGUGAGCAAGUAAUGUAACAUUCCCUGACACACAAAUCAUGGCUGGAAUAGUGGUGUGUGGCUAGGUCCCAGCCACUUUGUUUAUUUCCCAUUUACAGAGCCAGGGCUCUAUACAAACACCGGAGUAUUUUUUCAGCGCACACACUGAACGGACAACUAGCAUACUGUGAGGAGAUAUUCCCUGAAUUUGACAAAAAGACGUGUAUUGGAUUAGAAUCGCAUACCCCACCUUCAAAGUCCCAAUCCUUUAAAUUUUUUCAGCACACUUUCCAUCUUUACUGUUACUGCUGAAAAUGCACUAAACAACUGUGUGUAGGCCCCUUUUAAGGACUGUAACAACUGUUUCAGUGUUAGGUUCUGUGAUUGGCCCUUGUGCUUUGUAUUGGGGGGGGGGGGGUUAUACAGAUAAAAAUAUUAAGAACACUUUACCCUAUUAUUUCACCA